This 65-nucleotide transfer RNA is filed under the name Hypomecis punctinalis (pale oak beauty). RNAcentral describes it as "tRNA-Gly". Lineage: Eukaryota; Metazoa; Arthropoda; Insecta; Lepidoptera; Geometridae. The record is from RNAcentral.
AUUUAUAUAAUAUAAUAAGUAUAUUUGACUUCCAAUCAAAAAGUUUAAUAAUUUUAAUAUAAAUA